Molecule: ribosomal RNA, 517 nt
Filed under: uncultured bacterium
Lineage: Bacteria
Description: bacterial SSU rRNA
Rfam family: Bacterial small subunit ribosomal RNA
Source: RNAcentral
UAGAGUUUGAUCCUGGCUCAGAAUCAACGCUGGCGGCGUGCCUAACACAUGCAAGUCGUACGAGAAAGUGGAGCAAUCCAUGAGUAAAGUGGCGACCGGGUGAGUAACACGUGACUACCUACCUUCUAGUGGGGGAUAACUCCGGGAAACCGGAGCUAAUACCGCAUAACAUCGCAAGAUCAAAGCAGCAAUGCGCUGGAAGAGGGGGUCGCGGCUGAUUAGCUAGUUGGUAGGGUAAUGGCCUACCAAGGCAUCGAUCAGUAUCCGGCCUGAGAGGGCGGACGGACACACUGGAACUGAGACACGGUCCAGACUCCUACGGGAGGCAGCAGUGGGGAAUCUUGCGCAAUGGGCGAAAGCCUGACGCAGCGACGCCGCGUGAGUGAUGAAGGCCUUCGGGUUGUAAAGCUCUGUGGGGAGAGACGAAUAAGUGUCGGCUAAUACCCGGCAUGAUGACGGUAUCUCCUUAGCAAGCACCGGCUAACUCUGUGCCAGCAGCCGCGGUAGCCCAAUCGCC